UUUAACGAGAGUUUGAUCCUGGCUCAGGACGAACGCUGGCGGCGUGCCUAAUACAUGCAAGUCGAACGAACGGAUAAAGAGCUUGCUCUUUUGAAGUUAGUGGCGGACGGGUGAGUAACACGUGG
Molecule: non-coding RNA, 125 nt
Organism: Brochothrix thermosphacta
Lineage: Bacteria; Bacillati; Bacillota; Bacilli; Caryophanales; Listeriaceae
Source: Rfam